UUUUUUUUUUGGUCUUUUUGCCUUUUCUAGGGCCACACCUGCAGCAUAUGCAGGUUCCCAGGUCUAAUGGGAGCUGUAGCCACAGGCCUACGCCAGAGCCAUAGCAACACGGGAUCCGAGCCGUGUCUGCAACCCACACCACAGCUCACAGCAAUGCUGGAUCCUCAACCCACUGAGCAAGGCCAGGGAUUGAACCUCCAACUUCAUGGUUCCUAAUCGGAUUCGUUAACCACUGAGCCACGAUGGGAACUCCUAGAAUCUUUAAAUAAAUGUCUGGGCAUUCCCGUUGGGGCUCAGCAGGUUAAGAACCAGACAUAGUGUCUGUGAGACUGCAGGUUUGAUCCUUGGCUUCUCUCAGUGGGUUAAACAUCUGGCUUUGCUGAAAGCUGUGGCAUAAAUCGCAGAUGCAGCUUGGAUCCAGUGUUGUUGUGUCUGUGGUGUAGACCAGCAGCUGCAGCUCUGAUUUAACCCUGUAGCCUGGGAACUUCUAUAUGCCACAGGUGUACCAUAAAAAGAAAAAAAAUAAAAUGUCUGGACAGUGCACACAUAGAGUGUACCACCUUUCUAGGGCUAGAGACCAGGGGCUGUCAUCUCUACCUUUCUAGGAGUUGAAAGUCUUAUCUGAGAUACACUUAGCUUUGUUUCCAUGGAAACUCAAGAUUCUUGUUUAUUGUGUACACCCUACUCCCUACCAGAACAGGAGCUACACAAGGCAAGGUACUGGUUUUGUUCAAGGAUGUGUCCGAGCACCUAGAACAGUGCUUCACAUAUGGUAGGCACUGAACAAAAACGUACUAAGUGAAGGAGCUAACCUUUGUCCAUAUCCUGAUCCUGUGAGGUGUGAUAGCUCCUCAAGAGUGCUAGGCUCAGAGACAGAAGAAGAGAAGAUUGACACUAAAGUAUCUGAGAGAAAAAGAAGCUGAAAGGCCAAAAUUUAACAAUUUGGAAACAAUUCUACUUCAGCACCUGAUCAGUAGAUGAAGCAAUUGUAUUUCUCUCCACCUUACUUUCAUUCGAUCUCUGUUUUACUUACAGCUCGUUAUACCAUUAUACAUUCUCUCCUUCCUUCGGUAAUAGGACCCUUUCAGUUUUAGCUAAGCAAAUGGCAGCCCAACCAAGAACCAUAUUUUCUAGCCUCCCUUGCAUCUAAGCAAGACCAUGUGAUUAAGUUUGGACCAAUAGCAAUGAUGCUAGUAGAAAAGAUGUAUUUCACUUCUGAACCAUGCUUUUCAAAGGUAGGAGGCAUACUCACUCUUAGCCCCUUUUCUUCCUUCCAAUUUACUGUGAUGCCAAUAGGACAACAGAAUCAUCUAGCCUUAGAUUGUCAAGAGGCAGCUGCAUGCCAAGGAAGUCAGAACAGGAACAUAGAAGGAGUGAAGGUUUGUGAUACCAUGGGGUUGCCACAUUAACCCUGGACAGCUCACACCUGGUCAGUUAACAUGAAAGAGAAAUAAUUGUCUGUUCGAUUUAAGACACUGCAAUGUUUGGGCCUUUGUUGUUAUAGCUGAACCUAUGUUGUAACUAAUGUCGUGGACACAAUCAAAAUUAAUCUGGCCUUGGGAGUUCCCAUUGUGGCUCAGUAGGUUAAGAACCUGACUAGUAUCCAUGAGGAUGAGGGUUCCAUCCCUGGCCUUGAUCAGUGGAUUUGGCGUUGCCACAAGUUGCAGCGUAGGUCGCAGAUACAGCUUGGAUUCCAGUUGCUGUGGCUGUGGCAUAUGUGGCAGAGGCAGUUCUGAUGUGACCCCUAGCCUGAACACUUCCACAAGCUGCACCAGGUGCGCCCCUAAAAAAAAAAAAAAAAAAAGAAUCUGGCUCGGAACUUUUCUAUCUUCAAUUGGCUUACAUCACGCUUAUGUCUUUCAGGCUUUUGACAAUGUUAUGUACUCUCUCAUUGUUUCCAUUCAUACAUGCAGCGUAUAUUGUUAUGAAUUAUUAGUUCUCAUUCCUGUUUAGAUCCCUAAGGAACACCAGGUUUCAAAAUAAAGUUGGAGUGAUCAGAACUGGCUGCUUGAAUCCUAUGAACCUGAACCAUGUUGCCCAGUCAUUCUCAGAGUAAAAAGGCUUGCCAUAUGGUAUAAACUUGUUCUCUCAUUAUUUCCAGAGUUCGGUCUCUGCAGUAAGAUGACACUUGCCUUGAGAAAAAAGACCCCGUGUUCCACAUUUCCAAAUCCCACCCAGGCAGUGCUUAGCAGAGUGGAGCAAUUACUAAGAGGUCCAUAGAUAUAUGGAAACCUCUAUAUUAUUAUUAUUAUUAUUAUUUUGCUUUUUUAGAGCUGCACUCGUGGCAUAUGGAGGUUCCCAGGCUAGAGGUCCAAUUGGUGCUAUAGCUGCCAGCCUACACCACACCAUAGCAACGCAGGAUCUGAGCCCUGAGUGCAACCUACACCACAGCUCACGGCAAAGCUGGAUCCUUAACCCACUGAGCAAGGCCAGGGAUUGAACCUACAAUCUCAUGGUUCCUAGUCGGGGUUGUUUCUGCUGCGCCACAAUAGGAACCCAAAACCUCUAUGUUAUUAUCUGUACAGUUUAUCCAGGACUUACUACCACAGAUUACUAGUUAUUAUUUUGUUGGUACAGUCUGUUGUAAUCACUGGCCAAUAUUAACAUGCAAAGAUACUCAAGAGGAGAAGCUAGUCUAUGCUAAGUGACAGAUGAGUGACAGAGGAAGGAAUAUUGGCUUGGCGGCAACUGGCCCCUGCUCUAGAUAUCUUGAUGGCAGACAUCAAAUUCUUACAGAAAAGAAAGAGGAUGGAGAGAAGAUCUUGUGGGGCUAAAGAGACCACCCCAAGCCCCUAAGCCGGUGCCAUGAAGGGAAUGCAAGAUAAACUGGAGGAUAGAACAUUGUACUCAAUGCUUUGGGCAGCAGGCAAGCUUGUUUCUAGCACAAUAGAUGGUGGGUUGAACUGGCUAUAGAACUUCAACCUCAACAAGAACAGAGGCUGGAGCUGCACUGACCUUUUGCUUGGUUCACACCCAGAUCUUCAAAGCAUGGGGAGCAUCUCUAAGCAAGCAAAGCCCAUGUAGUAAAAAAGGUACCAUCUCUUUGGGAAGGAAAGCUGGAUACAACUUCAUAGAAGAGGGGGUUUAAUUCAGAUCCUAAAUUAAGACUAAACAUUAGGACUUCCCACUGUGGCUCAGUGGGUUAAGAACCGACAUAGUAUCCAUGAGGAUGCUGGCUCGAUUCCUGGCCUCAUUCAGUGGGUUAAGGAUCUGACAUUGCUGCAAGCUUUGGCGCUGGUCACAGAUAUGUGACUUGGAUCCUGUGUUACUGUGACUGUGGUGUAGGCCAGCAGCUGCAGCUCUGAUUCAACCCCUAGCCUGGGAACUUCCACAUGCUGAAGGUGCAGCUGUAAAAGGGGGAAAAAAAAAAAAAAAAAGACUAAACCUUAGAAACAUAGUAUUCUGGAGCUUGAAGGUAUGGAGGGAGGAUUGGCAGCAUGAACAACAGUCUAGAAUCAGGAAAAAGUAUACCCUGCUCAGAGUUAACAGUUCUCCUAGAAGGUAGAAUGGAUAUAUUUUAAUUAGUUUGUCUAACUUUCCUUGCUUUCAGGAAUUGCUUCUCCAUUAUCCUGCCGUCCACCAGUGGAAAUGGAUGUGGGACUAAGUCUAUCCAAUCAGGACCCUCUAUGCCCCUGGCCUGCACCUUGGAACGUCUCUGGACUAGGCAUGACCUAGGCAGAGCACUUUGGGGAGAUUAAUAAGGAUAUGAGUAUAAGGGAUUACUUUCUCCUUUCUGUGCUUGCAGCUAUGAAGACUGAAUUUCCCUCUGCCAUGGGCCUCACUGCCAUUACCAAGAAGAAGGCUGCCUAAGACUUAAGCCAGCUUGGAAGGAUGAAGAGCCAAGAGGGGAACUGAGGAGAUCUGGGGACCGAGUUUGGAUCUUGGAGCCCACUGUGCCUGGAGCAAAAUUCUCCCCCCUCCCUCUCCACCCCAGACUUUCCAGUUAUAGGAACAAAGCAGUUCCUCUUAUGUUUCUGCUGUGGAGUGUUUCUGUCCCUUGUAACCGAAAGAGACCUGACUAAUGUGGGAGUAACUGAAGAUAAGAUUAGAAAGUAGAUAUAGCUGGGUUACAGAGGCCCUAAAUGCUACACGAAAAGGUUUGGACUUGAUUUAAAAAUUUUUUUUAAUUAAAAUUUUUUUUCUUUUUUUGGACGUUUUUGGUUUUUGUUGCACCCACAGCGUGCAGAAGUUCCUGGGACAAAGAUUUAAUCCUUACCACAGCAGUGACCCAAGCCACAACAGUGACAACACCAGAUCCUCAACACAAUAGGCCACCAGGGGACACCUGGACUAGUUUUUGAAGAUGAAAAGAUGAAUUCAUUUAAAUUAAGAGGCUGUUAGUGUUGUACUCAGUGGUGGCUCUGUGGAAAGAACAUAACCAGGGGAGGCUUCCAGCCUUAUCAACUCCUGGCAAUGCAUCUCUGCAAACCCCAGGCUACCGAAUCCCCAUCUGCAGAGUGAGGGUCACUCCAUAUCCCUUGCUGGGCUGCUGUGAGGAAGACAGGUUCAACACCUAAUGCAAGGUCUGGCAAGCUAUAGGCAUGUUGGGUCUUCACAGAGGGACUGUGGUGGCAGUCAAGGUGACAGGAGAAGAUGAAGGAGGAGGAGCCAGAGGGAGAGGAGGAGAAGGGGGGAUACUUCUUGGACUAGGUUGGCAGGAGUGGGAGUGAGGAAGAAAGAUGGUGGUGAGAGCCACUGGCAAACAUCACCAGGACUGCCUGUCACCUGCACAUGGAGUAGGAGGAGAAGGAACGUCAGUGAUGAUCCGAGGUAAAAACAUGCAUAGAAUGAACUGAUUCUCGACCUUCUUUUUCAUCCACACCACCAAAAAUAGAAAACCUGGGAGUGCCUAUCGUGGCACAGUGGAAACGAAUCUGACUAGUAUCCAUGAGGAUGUUGGUUCGAUCCCUGGCCUUGCUCCAUAGUCGGCAAUCCCCUGUUGCUGUGGGGUGUAGGCUGGCAGCUAUAGCUCCAAUCUGACCCCUGGCCUGGGAACUUGCAUGUGCCACAGGUGCAGGCCCUAAAAAGCAAAAAAAGAAAAAAAAAAAAGAAAAGAAAAAAGAAAACCCAACAACAAUGAAAAGCACCGUGUGUGUGUGUGUGUGUGUGUGUGUGUGUUUGUGCAUGUGUUUGUGUGCAGGAGAGGAAGCUGCAGGCCUGGUUGAGGGUUCUUCCUCUCCUGUGCCAACUAAGAACUUGGCAGGUUCCUGUGCAAAAUGGGAAUUCAGGCCUGGCAUCCACGGGGAGGCCAAGAGGAAAGUACCAGGUUGAACCUUGUAAUAGCCUUCCACACCCUUUGGCUCAGAUAGCUGAGAGCUAUGUUAUCCUCGAAAAUGAAUCAGAACCUAAAGUCCCGCAACCUCCUGGAGUUGCUUCUUCCCACAUGAGAGCAUUUGCAUGGCAACUUCCUCUUCAGGCAUCCUAAUGGUUGCUGGCACGGGGGCCCCUGAACUGGAAAAACUCUUCAAGGAGUCAACUGAGGGGCUGGUUGUCCUUAGACUCAGGGAAAGAGCUUUGGGAGAC
Molecule: long non-coding RNA, 5523 nt
Filed under: Sus scrofa (pig)
Lineage: Eukaryota; Metazoa; Chordata; Mammalia; Artiodactyla; Suidae
Description: lncRNA (ENSSSCG00015004342.1)
Source: RNAcentral